GAGCCGCUAGCUCAUCAGGUAGAGCACCGGCCUUUUAAGCCGGGUGUGCCGAGUUCGAGUCUCUGGCGGCUCA
Molecule: transfer RNA, 73 nt
Filed under: Candidatus Omnitrophota bacterium
Lineage: Bacteria; Pseudomonadati; Candidatus Omnitrophota
Description: Candidatus Omnitrophica bacterium tRNA-Lys
Rfam family: tRNA
About the family: Transfer RNA (tRNA) molecules are approximately 80 nucleotides in length.
Source: RNAcentral